GACGAACGCUGGCGGCGUGCCUAACACAUGCAAGUCGAACGGGGUGAGCCUCUUCGGAGACUUACUUAGUGGCGAACGGGUGAGUAACGCGUGAGAAACCUGCCUUUCAGUGGGGGACAACAGUUGGAAACGACUGCUAAUACCGCAUAAUGUUUCGAGAGGGCAUCCUCUUGAAACCAAAGCUUUAUGUGCUGAAAGAUGGUCUCGCGUCUGAUUAGCUAGUUGGUGGGGUAACGGCCUACCAAGGCGACGAUCAGUAGCCGAGCUGAGAGGCUCAACGGCCACAUUGGGACUGAGAUACGGCCCAGACUCCUACGGGAGGCAGCAGUCGGGAAUAUUGCGCAAUGGAGGAAACUCUGACGCAGUGACGCCGCGUAUAGGAAGAAGGUUUUCGGAUUGUAAACUAUUGUCAUUAGGGAAGAAUAAAGACAGUACCUAAGGAGGAAGCCCCGGCUAACUAUG
This 462-nucleotide ribosomal RNA is filed under the name uncultured bacterium. Its description in RNAcentral is "bacterial SSU rRNA". It matches the Rfam family "Bacterial small subunit ribosomal RNA", at positions 28 to 505 of the family's 1533-position model. The record is from RNAcentral.